RNAcentral lists this ribosomal RNA (450 nucleotides) under uncultured bacterium. Its description in RNAcentral is "partial 16S ribosomal RNA". It matches the Rfam family "Bacterial small subunit ribosomal RNA", at positions 354 to 796 of the family's 1533-position model. The record is from RNAcentral.
GUGGGGAAUAUUGGACAAUGGGCGAAAGCCUGAUCCAGCCAUGCCGCGUGUGUGAAGAAGGUCUUCGGAUUGUAAAGCACUUUAAGUUGGGAGGAAGGGCAGUAAGUUAAUACCUUGCUGUUUUGACGUUACCAACAGAAUAAGCACCGGCUAACUUCGUGCCAGCAGCCGCGGUAAUACGAAGGGUGCAAGCGUUAAUCGGAAUUACUGGGCGUAAAGCGCGCGUAGGUGGUUCAGCAAGUUGGAGGUGAAAUCCCCGGGCUCAACCUGGGAACGGCCUCCAAAACUACUGAGCUAGAGUACGGUAGAGGGUAGUGGAAUUUCCUGUGUAGCGGUGAAAUGCGUAGAUAUAGGAAGGAACACCAGUGGCGAAGGCGACUACCUGGACUGAUACUGACACUGAGGUGCGAAAGCGUGGGGAGCAAACAGGAUUAGAUACCCCUGUAGUCC